RNAcentral lists this ribosomal RNA (120 nucleotides) under uncultured bacterium. Its description in RNAcentral is "partial 16S ribosomal RNA". It matches the Rfam family "Bacterial small subunit ribosomal RNA", at positions 796 to 914 of the family's 1533-position model. The record is from RNAcentral.
CCAGCUGUAAACUCUGGGUACUAGGUGUGGGGGGCUUCGAUGCCCUCUGUGCCGUAGUUAACGCAUUAAGUACCCCGCCUGGGGAGUACGAUCGCAAGGUUGAAACUCAAAGGAAUUGAC